CUGAGGUUUCAGAGUCUUGCGUCCUUGCAAAAGGUAUCCUUCCUGAACCCCAGGGGUUCAUCUGCACCCCACAACAGUAAUGGUGUAUUAACACGCCAAGAGAGUCCAAUAGAAGCUCAAGAAUUUCAGUUAAGUCUGGAUUUUCUCUAUAUUGUAUUUCGAAUGUCUUUCUUAGAUGGAAUAUAAAUCUUUGUAUAUACUUUAUAUAUACAUACAUAUACACAAAACAACUUUAGGUGCGUGCACAUUAAAUCUUUGCCACUAAAGUUUGACAUCACACUCUGCUGAAUUCCCAAGACAGAACUUGCUCUCAGAGUAUCUCUGUGGAGGAGCCAAAGGGAAGCGCCACCAUUCGUGGCUCUCUUUAGAGCUUCCAGCAUGGCGCCCGAGAUUUUCUUGUAUGCAGUGUUGCUGACCUUAUUGCUGCUAGCAAUAAGAGGCUGCAUUUUGGUCCCAGAGAUUCAGUCCUGUUUUGAUUUAGUGCUGGGAUUUCAAACUGUUUAAGCCCCGAGAACAUGGGGCUUCUCGGACUGCAGCCCUGACUGGUUGUUGCACAUGGACAGGAAAUAUUUGGGGGAAUGCUUCGUGAUUGAUGCUGGGAAAAGACUGAGCAAGUUAAGUGAUCGGCCUGAGCUUCUCGUGGAAGUGGAAGAGCUGGUUCUGGCAAAGCUGAUGUAAAGCCCACAGGUAAGAGUGAAGUGGAAGCCAAGAAAUAGGGGUGAAUAGCUCGGUGGAGCUUCUGGAGCCUUCAGGGCGGAGCUUCUGAACCAGCAACCCUCCCUCCCCUCCCCUCUCCUCGACUUAAGGAAGUGAAGAAAGGAUGGAAGUUAUAGAGGAAAGACAAUUGCGGAGACCUCGGCAGCGCGCAGUGUCUUUCUAGAUGGUUAGUGACGUUUGUAAGCACAAGGUAGGAUGUGGAGUCUCCCGGAAGCCCUCCCUAAGCCACCAGAAGGAUCCCAAACCAGAAAGGGCGCCGCACUCCUCAGAGCUCAGGCGUGCACGGGCUGGUCCGAGAAGACCCUUCCUGACGACCACCACCAGAUGUCUAAAAAUGGCGCUCUUAUUCCACUCUGAGAUCUACACAUCUCACGGACAGACAACGUCCCCCAACCGCAGCUCUUCCAUGAAACCAAUAAAACUCCAUCGUUUGUUAUUGGGGGAGAAACCUUUUACGGGAAACUGCCUUCUGGCCAUCGACCUUGCUAAGAAACCUCUGAUUUUAUUGGGAUGCUUGGUGAUUCAGAGAGCCCUAAUGGCCCAGCCAUUUCCUGGAGAUCUGCCCCCUGCCCCCAGCUGGGAGCUACCUAGUCAAUAG
RNAcentral lists this long non-coding RNA (1315 nucleotides) under Monodelphis domestica (gray short-tailed opossum). Its description in RNAcentral is "lncRNA (ENSMODG00000045464.1)". Lineage: Eukaryota; Metazoa; Chordata; Mammalia; Didelphimorphia; Didelphidae. The record is from RNAcentral.